This 432-nucleotide long non-coding RNA is filed under the name Panax ginseng (ginseng). RNAcentral's name for it is "long non-coding RNA (PGIN_LNC016784)". Lineage: Eukaryota; Viridiplantae; Streptophyta; Magnoliopsida; Apiales; Araliaceae. The record is from RNAcentral.
CCAUAUAUAUGUAUAUAACUCCCGAGAUAAAGCAGACAAAGAGCUAUCAGACCAAGAACUUCAUAAUCAUCAUCCUCCUCGAGAGAGAGAAGCCCUAAAACACCUUCAGCAAUCAAAAUUUACAGAAACUGAUCCGGUGCCAGCCCUGAAGACCAGUUACAUAGGUACAAUCAUCAUAAAAACACAUACCAAAAACCAAAAAUGAUCAAUUGGUAUGUAAAAAUAAUAUUCCUGCAACAAAUUUAUAGUAGUAAGUGAAAUUAAUCAAUAAAAUUGAGGAAGCAACCGACCAAACUAAUAAAAUUGAAUGUAAAAAAUAUAGAAAUUAGAACUGUAAUUUAGUGGGGGGAGAAAGAGUUUGAGGAAGAGAGAGAAUGAAACCUUCAAUGUCCCUGGGAGUAUUUUGGCAUCCAUAUUGGUUUCUCUCCUCAC